This 253-nucleotide ribosomal RNA is filed under the name uncultured bacterium. Its description in RNAcentral is "partial 16S ribosomal RNA". It matches the Rfam family "Bacterial small subunit ribosomal RNA", at positions 524 to 776 of the family's 1533-position model. The record is from RNAcentral.
UACAGAGGGGGCAAGCGUUAUUCGGAAUUAUUGGGCGUAAAGGGCGCGUAGGCGGCCUGGCAAGUGGAAGGUGAAAUCCCUCGGCUUAACCGAGGAACUGCCUCCCAAACUGCUUGGCUUGAGACCGGGAGAGGUGAGUGGAAUUCCCAGUGUAGCGGUGAAAUGCGUAGAUAUUGGGAGGAACACCAGUGGCGAAGGCGGCUCACUGGACUGGUACUGACGCUGAGGCGCGAAAGCGUGGGGAGCAAACGGG